AUUGAACGCUGGCGGCAGGCCUAACACAUGCAGGUCGAACGGUAACAGGAAGCAGCUUGCUGCUUCGCUGACGAGUGGCGGACGGGUGAGUAAUGUCUGGGAAACUGCCUGAUGGAGGGGGAUAACUACUGGAAACGGUAGCUAAUACCGCAUAACGUCGCAAGACCAAAGAGGGGGACCUUAGGGCCUCUUGCCAUCGGAUGUGCCCAGAUGGGAUUAGCUAGUAGGUGGGGUAACGGCUCACCUAGGCGACGAUCCCUAGCUGGUCUGAGAGGAUGACCAGCCACACUGGAACUGAGACACGGUCCAGACUCCUACGGGAGGCAGCAGUGGGGAAUAUUGCACAAUGGGCGCAAGCCUGAUGCAGCCAUGCCGCGUGUAUGAAGAAGGCCUUCGGGUUGUAAAGUACCUUCAGCGGGGAGGAAGGGAGUAAAGUUAAUACCUUUGCUCAUUGACGUUACCCGCAGAAGAAGCACCGGCUAACUCCGUG
Molecule: ribosomal RNA, 490 nt
Filed under: uncultured bacterium
Lineage: Bacteria
Description: partial 16S ribosomal RNA
Rfam family: Bacterial small subunit ribosomal RNA
Source: RNAcentral